Molecule: ribosomal RNA, 816 nt
Filed under: Arthrobacter sp. LMR250
Lineage: Bacteria; Bacillati; Actinomycetota; Actinomycetes; Micrococcales; Micrococcaceae
Also listed under: 1 other name
Description: bacterial SSU rRNA
Rfam family: Bacterial small subunit ribosomal RNA
Source: RNAcentral
GGGUGAGUAACACGUGAGUAACCUGCCCUUAACUCUGGGAUAAGCCUGGGAAACUGGGUCUAAUACCGGAUAUGACUCCUCAUCGCAUGGUGGGGGGUGGAAAGCUUUUUGUGGUUUUGGAUGGACUCGCGGCCUAUCAGCUUGUUGGUGAGGUAAUGGCUUACCAAGGCGACCACGGGUAGCCGGCCUGAAAGGGUGACCGGCCACACUGGGACUGAGACACGGCCCAGACUCCUACGGGAGGCAGCAGUGGGGAAUAUUGCACAAUGGGCGCAAGCCUGAUGCAGCGACGCCGCGUGAGGGAUGACGGCCUUCGGGUUGUAAACCUCUUUCAGUAGGGAAGAAGCGAAAGUGACGGUACCUGCAGAAGAAGCGCCGGCUAACUACGUGCCAGCAGCCGCGGUAAUACGUAGGGCGCAAGCGUUAUCCGGAAUUAUUGGGCGUAAAGAGCUCCUAAGCGGUUUGUCGCGUCUGCCGUGAAAGUCCGGGGCUCAACUCCGGAUCUGCGGUGGGUACGGGCAGACUAAAGUGAUGUAGGGGAGACUGGAAUUCCUGGUGUAGCGGUGAAAUGCGCAAAUAUCAGGAGGAACACCGAUGGCGAAGGCAGGUCUCUGGGCAUUAACUGACGCUGAGGAGCGAAAGCAUGGGGAGCGAACAGGAUUAAAUACCCUGGUAGUCCAUGCCGUAAACGUUGGGCACUAGGUGUGGGGGACAUUUCCACGUUUUCCGCGCCGUAGCUAACGCAUUAAGUGCCCCCCCUGGGGAGUACGGCCGCAAGGCUAAAACUCAAAGGAAUUGACGGGGGCCCCCACAAGC